UGGCUAACUCCUACGGGAGGCAGCAGUGGGGAAUUUUGGACAAUGGGCGCAAGCCUGAUCCAGCCAUUCCGCGUGCAGGAUGAAGGCCCUCGGGUUGUAAACUGCUUUUGUACGGAACGAAAAGCCUUCUUCUAAUACAGGAGGGUCAUGACGGUACCGUAAGAAUAAGCACCGGCUAACUACGUGCCAGCAGCCGCGGUAAUACGUAGGGUGCAAGCGUUAAUCGGAAUUACUGGGCGUAAAGCGUGCGCAGGCGGUUAUGUAAGACAGAUGUGAAAUCCCCGGGCUCAACCUGGGAACUGCAUUUGUGACUGCAUAGCUAGAGUACGGUAGAGGGGGAUGGAAUUCCGCGUGUAGCAGUGAAAUGCGUAGAUAUGCGGAGGAACACCGAUGGCGAAGGCAAUCCCCUGGACCUGUACUGACGCUCAUGCACGAAAGCGUGGGGAGCAAACAGGAUUAGAAACCCGAGUAGUCCAGCUGG
Molecule: ribosomal RNA, 481 nt
Filed under: uncultured bacterium
Lineage: Bacteria
Description: bacterial SSU rRNA
Rfam family: Bacterial small subunit ribosomal RNA
Source: RNAcentral